This 88-nucleotide transfer RNA is filed under the name Merismopedia sp. SIO2A8. Its description in RNAcentral is "tRNA-Ser". It matches the Rfam family "tRNA". From Rfam's summary of the family: Transfer RNA (tRNA) molecules are approximately 80 nucleotides in length. Their secondary structure includes four short double-helical elements and three loops (D, anti-codon, and T loops). Further hydrogen bonds mediate the characteristic L-shaped molecular structure. tRNAs have two regions of fundamental functional importance: the anti-codon, which is responsible for specific mRNA codon recognition, and the 3' end, to which the tRNAs corresponding amino acid is attached (by aminoacyl-tRNA synthetases). tRNAs cope with the degeneracy of the genetic code in two manners: having more than one tRNA (with a specific anti-codon) for a particular amino acid; and 'wobble' base-pairing, i.e. permitting non-standard base-pairing at the 3rd anti-codon position. Lineage: Bacteria; Bacillati; Cyanobacteriota; Cyanophyceae; Synechococcales; Merismopediaceae. The record is from RNAcentral.
GGAAGGUGCUGCUAAUGGUUGGCAAUCGGUCUGGAACACCGAGGGAUGGCACGUUGCUAUCGGGGUUCAAUUCCUCCUCCUUCCGCCA